RNAcentral lists this long non-coding RNA (1280 nucleotides) under Homo sapiens (human). RNAcentral's name for it is "HSALNT0320342". Lineage: Eukaryota; Metazoa; Chordata; Mammalia; Primates; Hominidae. The record is from RNAcentral.
ACAUUCCAGCCUGGGCAACAGAGUGAAACCCUGUCUCAAAAAAAAGCAGCAACUUCUCUCUGGGAAAGGCAGGUCUUGUGACAGAGGCAAACGAGAGAUGGCAGAAUCUCACAGUGGCAUUUAUAACUUCUGCUUUGAAGUGGCAACAUUUCCAUUCACAUGUCAUUGGCCAAAGCAAGUCAUGUCCAAACUAAUAUCAAUGCAAAGCAUAAUCCCAUAAGGACACAUCUGAUAUAGAGGGGCAGUGAAAAUGUCAACAAUAAUAUAAUCUAUGAGAGGAUACAGAAGCAUAACCAGUAAAUGUUAGUGUCCUUCCCUUUCCUCUUUUCCCUUACUGGUUCCCCCUGAGAAACACAAGUGUACAGCAUGGAGAGGCUGUGUGAUGUCAUAAUUAAGAGUGUAGAUUCUGAGAACAGACUGCCUGAGUUCAAAUCCUUACUCUGCCAUUUUCCAGCUGUGUGGCUUUGGGCAAGUUAUUUAACCUCUCUGUGCCUCAACUUCUUCAUGUAAACUGGCAGUAAUAAUAAUACGAAUGCCACAGAGCUGUGGAUGAAAUGAGCCCAUUCCGGUCUGGCUUCUUUAACCAGGAAGAUGUGGGCUGAGAGCUGUGGAGUAGAUGUCUUCACCAGAUGAGUACACAGAGAAGUAGAGAAUGUGUAUCUGCAGAGUAGGAUGAAGCAGAGACAAGUCUUGUGAAUAAGGUAUUCAGGAAGCACAGCUGUCUUUUGUUCCUGAAGCCGUAUCAGGAUUCAGCAGGAAAGAGCACCAAGAUCACUUGGCAAUGUUUAUCCUGAUCAAGCACGGGCACUGAUGGCAGAUGCAGGACAAAGGACAGAACUCUAAGUCAUCCCUGUGCUCACCUGAGACAAAUGCAUGUCUGAUUGCUUCCACUGAUGUAAAAAUGCAGAUUUGCUGAGUUAGACGAAGACGAUGGCAGAGAGCAGUCUUCAUCCUGAGCCCCAUUCCUAGGUAAGUAGCUGAAUUGGGGUUUUGUUUUGGAAAUUCUCCUUAAUGGCUAAAGUUAAGAUUAACAACCAGCUGGUCUUAAUUUCUUCUUACCAUUAGAGCACUCAGUAAUCUAAUAUAAAUUAUAAAUCUAAUAUAUUAGAUUUAUUUUGGGUUUGACCAACUCUAUCUGACUUGAUCAAAUCCAAAGGAAAGUUCCAAAUUAUGGGGAAUAAGGCCUCUGAAUUGGCUACAUUCCUGCAGCUGAAAAUAAGGAAAGAAAAAAGGGAAAAAGUAAAAGCAGCCAGGCCGGGCAUGGUGGCUCAAACCUGUAA